GUAUCAGCUAGUUGGUGAGGUAAUGGCUCACCAAGGCUAUGACGCAUAACUGGUCUGAGAGGAUGAUCAGUCACACUGGAACUGAGACACGGUCCAGACUCCUACGGGAGGCAGCAGUAGGGAAUAUUGCUCAAUGGGGGAAACCCUGAAGCAGCAACGCCGCGUGGAGGAUGACACUUUUCGGAGCGUAAACUCCUUUUGUUAGGGAAGAACAAUGACGGUACCUAACGAAUAAGCACCGGCUAACUCCGUGCCAGCAGCCGCGGUAAUACGGAGGGUGCAAGCGUUACUCGGAAUCACUGGGCGUAAAGGACGCGUAGGCGGAUUAUCAAGUCUCUUGUGAAAUCCUAUGGCUUAACCAUAGAACUGCUUGGGAAACUGAUAAUCUAGAGUGAGGGAGAGGCAGAUGGAAUUGGUGGUGUAGGGGUAAAAUCCGUAGAGAUCACCAGGAAUACCCAUUGCGAAGGCGAUCUGCUGGAACUCAACUGACGCUAAUGCGUGAAAGCGUGGGGAGCAAACAGGAUUAGAUACCCUGGUAGUCCACGCCCUAAACGAUGUAUACUAGUUGUUGCUAAGCUAGUCUUGGCAGUAAUGCACCUAACGGAUUAAGUAUACCGCCUGGGGAGUACGGUCGCAAGAUUAAAACUCAAAGGAAUAGACGGGGACCCGCACAAGCGGUGGAGCAUGUGGUUUAAUUCGAAGAUACGCGAAGAACCUUACCCGGACUUGAUAUCUAACAAAUCAUCUAGAGAUAGAAGAGUGUCUGCUUGCAGAAAUGUUAAGACAGGUGCUGCACGGCUGUCGUCAGCUCGUGUCGUGAGAUGUUGGGUUAAGUCCCGCAACGAGCGCAACCCACGUCAUUAGUUGCUAACAGUUCGGCUGAGCACUCUAAUGAGACUGCCUUCGUAAGGAGGAGGAAGGUGUGGACGACGUCAAGUCAUCAUGGCCCUUAUGUCCGGGGCGACACACGUGCUACAAUGGCAUAUACAAUGAGAAGCAAUAUCGCGAGAUGGAGCAAAUCUAUAAAAUAUGUCCCAGUUCGGAUUGGAGUCUGCAACUCGACUCCAUGAAGCCGGAAUCGCUAGUAAUCG
This 1091-nucleotide ribosomal RNA is filed under the name Campylobacter concisus. RNAcentral's name for it is "bacterial SSU rRNA". It matches the Rfam family "Bacterial small subunit ribosomal RNA", at positions 238 to 1344 of the family's 1533-position model. The record is from RNAcentral. Lineage: Bacteria; Pseudomonadati; Campylobacterota; Epsilonproteobacteria; Campylobacterales; Campylobacteraceae.